RNAcentral lists this long non-coding RNA (16643 nucleotides) under Triticum aestivum (bread wheat). RNAcentral's name for it is "long non-coding RNA (TAES_LNC028347)". Lineage: Eukaryota; Viridiplantae; Streptophyta; Magnoliopsida; Poales; Poaceae. The record is from RNAcentral.
CUGACAUCUCUUCUUCGAUGCAAAGACCUGAACAAUUUUUAUUCCUUUAUAGAUGAUCGGUAACAACUACUAAUUACACGUCACAGUACAUAGCACGGUCAUCCAUCACACACAAGCAGGAGGCAUAGGCUAGGUAGGACAAAGCAUCGAUGGCUGGUUUUCAAAAUGAAAGGCCUCCAGGAUCUCACUUUGAACAGCUUGCAUGGCAAAAUUCAGGAAAGGGUUUGCUGACGGCUCCCGCCCACAGAUUUGAUGACAUGCGUACGUGAAUGUGCAAGACGCAUCUGUGAUUUUACGGAGUUUGCUGUACCAACCAGUCGGGUCUUGCGGUGCGGUGGCGGCGGAGUUCUGGAGUGGUCGCACCCAGGGCACUUGUGGCGCCCGGACCCGGGGAUCGGUGGCGGGGGAACCACUCCUGGACGGCCUCCUUCUGGAAGAUCUGCAAUAAUAUAUACACAUGUAUUACUAACUACUCAUCAUUUAACUCUAACUCCAUGCAAAUACCCAGAGCUUGCAUGAAGGCCGACCUAGAACAACAUUACGUUCUUCUCCUAAUGCUUACCUAUUGUCAAGUGAAAAAUCUGAUGCUUACCUUGGACGGCCGCCGAGCAAGGAAGGCUGAAGUAUAUGAACAUGAUAGCCAGGAUUGCCACGGCUACUGCCAUGGAAGAAGAAGAUGAGGAGCGCUUCAUAAUCUUCUUGUGUUUCUACUCUUAGUGUCUGUAAUUAAACAUGUAAUUUUGUGGACUAUGCAAGUGGCCAGAUUGCCUUACCUUGGGAAUGAGCUCGUUAGUCCAUAUAUAGAGACGAGACGUUAAGAGUGUUAGUUCUACAUUCGAGAUUUGUCAUUGAGGCUCUCGUUCUCAGGGACUCUGAUAUGGUCAAAGUCUACUCCCGGUCAAUAGGGACAUACCUGGAACCUUAUGACCAUGUUAGGUGGAGAAGAUAGAGCCUUCAAUAUUUUGAGAGCCCGCAACAUAUGACCGUGUGGAAGCUUGUGCCAUCACGUGGCAUAUUUUGUUGUAAUGUCUUGGUCAAGAUAUCAACACGGUCAAGCCUAUUAUCCUUUUGCUGAUACACAAUGUCGUGUAAAUUGUGACUUUGUAAUCCUUUGAUGCUCUUUGACUAAUGUAGACGCUAUGACAUACUGUGUUGAGGUCUGUUAUGGGAGGUUUGUUGAAAACAAUACGAGAAGGCUGCUUUCUGAACGCAAGACAAUCAUAAGGGGCAAUGAUCAAACUAAUACUAACCUCAGUGAUGCAAAACUUAUUCGCUGGAUCUGUGAGAGGUUGUUGCCUGCAUGGGCUAAGCAUGGUAGUAUGACACCAGCGAUAUACUCAUUCCUGUACCAUCACAAAUUAUUUCCCCUAAAAGAGCAAAAUUAAACCUUUCCACAUGACAAUCAUAAAAAAACAGUUGCUCUAAGCUGUAACAUGUGCAGAUGGCCAGAUUGUGUUGCAUUGGGAAUUACUCUCCUCGUCUACCUUUCUUAGCCCCUCCCGAACUUGAGCCUAAAUGUCACAAACAAAACAUAAGUUAUAUGGCACAAAAAGUAUAUCCUUUGAUUCAUAUUACAAAUCAAGUUUUCAAUGAUUUACUUUCCGUUGGGAUAUAACUUAUGGUUUAAUAGUUAAAUUUUAGGUCAAAAUUAGGCUCCAAUUUGAGGGCAUUAUUAACUCGAACGGAGGGAGUAGCUAAAACGUCAACAAUGUUAGUUGGUUUUAUAUUCAAGGAGGCUCUCAGCUUGAGGAUCUCCGAUAUGGUCAAAGCCUACCGGUCAACAGAUAUACUUUGAAGUUGGAACCUUAUGAUCAAGAUAGGUGAGGCAAAUAGAACAUCCAAUAUUUUAAGGAGCUCACAUCAUCAUAGCCUCUGAAGCAUGUGGAAGCUUGUGCCAUCCUGCAACUUAUUUUGUUGUCAAGUACUCCCUCUGUUUUUAUUUACUCCGCAUAUUAGCUUUGGUCAAAAUCAAGCAUUGUAAACUUUGACAAAGUUUAUAGACAAAAAUAUUAACAUAUCCAAUAACAAAUUAAUACUAUUACAUUCAUUAUUGAAUGUACUUCCACAUCAUAUAGAUUUGUUAUGGUAAAUAUUUAUAUUCUUUUCUAUAAACUUGGUCAAACUUUAGAAAGUUUGCGUUCAGUCAACUCUAAUAUGCGGAGUAAAUAAAAAUAGAGGGAAUAUAAAUUGGAUUAUCAACACGGUCAAACCCAUUAUCCUUUUAAUGAAAGUUAAUGUACCUUACUUGUCAAUUUGUGUAAAAUGUAAUUAUUAAUCCUCGGUUAACUUGAACGUAUGCAUCUAUUAAUAAGCAUUGCUUUCUCAAAAGAUUUUUUAAUUCAUAGCCAAAAGCCAACCUAUAGUUGGGUGGUGGUUGCACCCCCUGCACACCAAGAAUCAAACGAAACAUGCACCUUAAUCUUAGAAGUGCAUGCAGAGACAGGGGCCACCAUUCAGGGAGACAAGCAAACAUAUUACUCUCUUCGAUCCAUUUUACUCUGUGCAUAACAUUGGACUCGUAUACCAAUGAAAGGACGCAUUCGGUUUUUUUAGACUAAUUUGCACAAUUGCAUGUAAGGGAACUUGGGUUGUUGUUAACCUGCAUGCAGCGAUUGGUUCUCCAUGACCAUCGCUGAUCUCCUCAAUUCAUGUUUCGGUUUCUCUCUCCUGCAAUGCAUGGCGUGCAGAACAAAGGCUAUUAUUAGUUUGGUUGGUUGCAAGCAAGCGGAAUACUAGGGGGCAUAGGAAAGAAUCGGUGAAAUAGGCAACACACGAAGUAAAUCAGAAAAAGAGGGGAAAGUUAUUCGCAGAGUAAAAUAGAUCUGAGGGAGUAUAAUGCACUUCACACAAGAACGCAAAAAGAUGUUGGAUUUUGUUUUAGUGCUAACUCUAAUAGCUAAUUUUUUUUGUGGUUGAGCUCUAGCAGCUAAUAUUUACAUGCUUAUAAACUUAUGAGGUGAAUAAAAUUAAAAUAAAAGAAUAUGUAUCUAUCAGAUGACAUAUUGUACAAUGGACACAAUUGUCUUAUCUUCUGUUCAAGAUAUCAUCACUUUACAACAAGAAAACAACACAUUUUGUUUCCGUUUCUCUUUCUUCUAGAUCAACAAUCAUCCUAUGUGGUACUAGCAAGAUAGCUCUAUUGUAGAUAACCUAAUACCCUUAAACUAACUCAUCUUCCCAAUGGUAGGUCCAUCAUGGGGUCGCUCAGUAUGACAGUGUGGACCGAUGACCUGGCAUUUUUGUUUGCGCCAAAACACAACCAAGCAGGAUUGGUUUGGCUGGUAUUCAUGGCUCAUGCUAGAUUUUUAUUUCUUGUGUCUCUAUGUGGGGAUCAGAUUUGGACUUGAAAUUUAUAAAAGGUCCAAAAUAUAAAUACUUCAUUAGAAAAAUCCCAAAAAGUGAAUCAUUGUGCGUGUAUGAAACUGUAUGGUGAGCCCCAAUAUGAAGAUCUUUUUUUCGAAAAGGAGGAUUACCCCGGCCUCUGCAAUGAAGAUUUCAUAGAAUCCCUGUUAUAUCAGCAUACUUAGCCAUGGUGUAGAUAAUCGUGUAUUUUCUGCAUUGGGAGGUAACGAGUUUGAGUCCCCUCUUUGCACGUUCUUUUUAUUUAUCAGGAUACGCAAGACACAAAACUAGUUCAAGCCUUAUCUAUAACUACUCUCUCUGUUUCUAAAUAUAAGCCGCUCUACAUAUUUCAAUAUGGACUAUAUACGGAUGUAUAUAGACAUACUCUAGAGUGCAGAUUCACUCAUUUUGCUUCGUAUAUAGACCAUAUUGGAAUCUUUAAAAUGUCCUAUAUUUAGGAACGAAGGGAGUAGUUUAGAAGAAUUAGAAUUCAAAAUUAUUAUAAAAAAAUUCCAAAAUUUGUGGUAUUUCUUGGUUACCAUAAAAAACGGUGAGUUCCGAAUCCAAAUGUUAGCAAUCUUCCCUAUUAUCGUCGUGGGCUGGACCAUGGGCUUCCCCUACUGGGCUUGGGCUUCUCAAAAGUCACAGAACGCAACAAGUACAUAUAUACAAGGGAAUUGACUAUAGACAAGUCGGUUGAUUAGGAUGGCUGAGGCCUCCUCGCUCUUGUUUCCUCUUCCUGGUGUUCCUCAGCUCCUCUGAAUCAAUGGCUUGUAGUUCAAAUCAGUGAGCAAUUGAUCUAUGUACUAGUGUGCUGCUAACACUAGAAACUUGGUCUCAUGUAGAUCCUUCUGUUUAACUUUUUUCAAAACGGAGUCCAUGGCCCAGCCUUGGCCCUUCUAUUUUCUGAUGAGCAUGUAUGAAUGGACCAUGCACAAGGCACGACUCACUUUUAUGAAUGGAGUAUAUAGUUUCACUAUAGUUUUUUCAUGCACCGUAAUAACAUGCUAUCUAGAUAUUGUUUAUACAAUUGUAAGAACGAUUCAACCAUAUUCGUUAAUUAUUUGUUUUCCAGAGUCUAACUUAUAUCCCAGUCGCACAAACACCCUUUCAGACAGUGUGAUUCGAAGACGACAAGGAAAAUCUUGAAAUAACCGAGAGAUCGACAUGGCGCAGCAAGAAAAAGAGACCCUGUCCUCAUGGCAUCGGUGGUGCUUCGUACAUUAGGGGCACGUUGGCAGCUGCUCGCUGCAGGAUCUUGCGGUGCGGUGCUAGUGUCGCUGGUGGCGUAGUGUCAAGGUGGCGACAUCCAUGGAUGCAGCUAAUGGAUGGCCGGGGCCGCGGCGAUGGAGGACCCAUUCCUGGGCGGAAACCGUCUGGAUGAACUGCAUACAUGAAGCCAUGGGUAGAUUGUUGGAACUGCUCAUAAUACUACUGCCAAACAAAAAAAACUUAAUAUUUACCUCGGGUUGCCGUCGAGCAUGGCAGGAAGUUGCAUAGUAAUAAAAUAGCCCUUCAUGAUGUUCUAUUGAAUUAUCUCCCUUGGGAAUGAGCUCAUCAGUCCACAUAUAUACACAUGGAUGAAACGCGGUAUGCUCAAUAAUAGUCUUCACGGAGGCUCUCGUAGCGAUGGACAUGGACUCCAAUACGGUCAAGUCUUCGGUCAACAGGGACAUAUUUGGAGCCUUAUGUCCAUAUUAUUAGGUGGGACAGAUAGAACCUCCAAUCCAAUAUUCUGAGGAGCAAACAAGCAAGUCACGUGCCACCAACUCUAAAGAGUAAGAGCAUCAUAAGCAAGGUACAUGUGAGGUAUGUUUUGUUAACUCUCCGUCGACCGACAAUUUCUCAGCGCUUACUAGAUGUUGAGAAGCAUUGAUGCUGAGAUCUGUUAAGUAUUCCACAUUUUUUUAACUCUGAGACCAAAUAUUAUAAACUCUUAUAUCGGAUGAGCCUUGGAUGGCCAACUUUUUUUUUAAACUGAGUGAACAAUUUUGUAAAGUUGAAUGAAAUUUAAAAUUUCCAGUCGACUAAGAUGAUAGUAAUUUUGCACUAAUUAAACAUAUUAUUGACACACGCUGAACACUCUUUUAGAACUACAUGAACACAUUAGUAAUCUUAACUGAGAAAUAAGAUGUCCGCCGAGACGGCUAGACGUGGACAUCUCUAGUAGACUGGUAGUAGUUGCUUUCAUCACAAAGAAAAAAACGGCAGCUCAAGCAGGCGAAAUGAUUAAAAAAAAAGUGUGUGCAAAGACUUGGCAAGCCACCAUAGAGGGAGAUGAGAACCAUUAUUAUCUAAAAGAGGACAAAAACAUCAUCGUCACCCAGUUAGUGCAUUGCAUCUGAAACAAGAUUCUGUUCCAUUUUCAGAUGAUCUGAAACCGGUGUUAUUUCCACACGGUCAUACAUUAUACACACGCAAGAGGCAGAGCCAUCGAUCACAACUUGGACACCAUGCGAACGCGACCGCGCGAGAUGGACCGGCGAUUUUACGGUGUAGUGUUUGGUGUACCAACCAGCAGCAGAGUCUUCCGGUGCGGCGCAUGCGACGGUGUCUUCGCCGGUGACAUGCUGGCCGGGCGGUCGCAGUCCGGGCACAUGUGGUAAGUAAAGGGCUAAUACUUAGUGCGUGCGUGUGCAUACCUUGAACCGCCGCCGAGCACACCGCGGAAAGGCACAUGGCGGCGAUGAUGGCCACGGCGGAGAAGCGCAUCGUUAUUUUCCCUGCGCUAGUAGGCUUGCCGGUGCAACAACGGAGUCGGGGAUGGUGAUCAUCAAUUAGUACUGUGCCUUUGGAACUACGUACGUCACUGCCAAGCAUGUCUAUAUAAACCUUAGCUAGGCUGGUCAUGAAGUAUGGUCAAAGUCAAGGGUAGCUUACCCGCAAAAAAAAAAGUCAAGGGUAGCUAGCUAGGAUAUGCCCAGAUGCAGAGGCCGGAGGUCUAUCCUCCUUUUAAAAAAAAAAAAUCAGCUACGAUAUGUCAUAUGUGUAUAGAAGCGUUAGGCUGAACACGUGUACAGCAUGCACGUAUGCUCACUUAAGUUUUCAUGGUCAAUGUUUAACCAUAUAUUUUUCCUCGUGGAUAUGGUAUGUUACGGUUUUUUCUAUUCUUUACAAAACACAAUACAUAGCAAAUGCUAUCUUGCGGAUCAGAUCUGGGCCCGAGGCAGGCGUGACUCUCACCCCUAAGGUUGGGUGCGGUCCGGGUGGUGCCCGCAGGCAUUGAGGUCCCUCUUCUCGUGGGAGUGAAAGUAGAUGCCUUUUACUCCUACUGUAGAUGCUCACGGGCGCGCUAUGUGUCACUUGCAGUGGCAAGGCUCCGAUAUAGAUUUGGAUAUCUCGAUUCAUCGCGCUUGUUCUGGAAGCCUUGCGGUGGAAUGGAGAGUUGCUGAGCGAAAAGUCCACUUUUUGUCGCCGACGACAGCGGCGCUCACAGGCGCCGCUCUCUUCUUGAAGACGUCGUGGUGGUUCACCUCUCCUUGUCUAGGUUCGGGUGAAAAUAUCUGUCCGACUGUGGACUCAGCAGUGGCAAUGCCUAGCGUCAUUCUCCCUCCUGAGGGUGUUGUCGUGGAGCUUAGGUGUUAUAGGGGGUAGCAUGAAGUUGUACUUAGUUUUUCUUAUGCUCUCUUUUGAUAAUGUAGUCGUGUACAUCCCGCGUGACCCGGUUCUCAUUGGAUCGACAUUGUAUGAGGGCUACCUCAUCAAGUUGUAUCGUUCGGCGGUGUACUUUGUUCGGUGUUGCUUUGUAUAUAAAGCGGGGCAAAAGCUUGUUUCAAGAUAAUUAAUUGCUUAUAUGAAAAGUAAUAAUUUCGUAUAAAAACGGCAAAAAAUAGGGAAGGAGGGGGAGGGGACAAAAUAUAAGAAGGCCUUGCAAAUUGGAGCACUACUGCACUAGUAAGAAACCCUGCCUUGAAUCGGUUAAUGUUCGCUCUCGAACACCUGCUAUAUGGCAACACCCCACUAGCAAGAGACACAAAUGUUUAAACAAAACGUCGUGGAUCACAUCGCACAUUACAACCAAAAAGCAGCACUUGCUCUAAACAUGGAAGGAUCAUCCCAAACCACCAGCGGGAAGACUAGCUGAAAUUUCGGUAACCGCUUGCGGUGCCAGGUGAACACCAUGGCAGGAGCCGUCACACCACCUGUGGUUCCACGGCGUCUUACCCUGUGGCGCCGGAGGGGCCCGUCCUACUUGGUUUCCUCCUCCUCUCCCCAGACCACCCCCCGAUAAACAACAUUCCCUGAUGCCAUCGCAACAACUUAUAUAUCAAAACAAACGGAGAGCACAUCUAGAGCUACCAGGGUCAUCCACUUGAAAUAUAUAGACACAAAGACAGAUGCAUGGUGACAUUCCUUUGCAAACGGCAGAGCAUGCAUGGGAAUGGCAGCAGGGAGCUGCAGCACACGAUGAACAGGAGAAUUGCCACGGCGCGUGCGAGCGAGGACGGAGAAGAGGAAGACCGCUUCAUGGUCGAUCGGAUGAGCUUGUCUGCCCAGCUUCAGUUCUCAAGCACUGAUUAGAUCUCUCUUUGUGGACGGGUCUCUCCAUCUAGUUAAGUACUCUAACAGCGACGGCAAGUUCUCUGCACAUCUUGAUUGAUUAACAUAAUGUAAUCACGAUCAUCGAUGCCGCCAUUGAACAAGUCGAGCUAAUAGCUGCUCGGAGGCUCCGAGUCAAGUACUCAUAGUCGUCCGUGUCGACACUCACAAUCUUUGCAUCUCAAUCACAGUUGCUGGUAAGUGUAAGUAACAUGGAAUUCGUUCAUCGCAUCCGCUACAAGCUGCCAGUUCUAGAUGCUGUACUACUUCAGCCUUGUAAACUGUCCACUACAACCUUGUAAACUGAAACCUAUAUUUAAGUAAGACAUCGCAAAAUAAUAAACAAGAUGGGACCUAUAUUUAAGUAAUCACGAUCUUCGAAGGACCCAAGUGCCGCAGCGGAAGCGUGGUGGGCCCAUAACCCACAGGUCCAGGAUUGAAACCUGGCCCAAAUAAAAAAAUUAUUUGGGCUUUUAAUUUCUUCUCUUCGGCCCAUUUACUUUCAGACAGGGCUUCAGUUUGUCUGUUAGAUCCAUUCUUAUUUCCAUCCAAUACUGCGACUGAUUCUAAACAAAAACAAAUCCAAUUUUGUGACUGCUUUAGUUCCGAUCAUAAGGUUGACUUUGUUUCUCUACAAAAAAAUCAGGUUGACUUUGCAAGUUUCAAACUGAGUAGAUUUUCUGUAAGGCUCAUUCUUAUUUCCAUCCAUUUUUGCCGCUGCUUUAGUUUGGAUCAUCAGGUUGACUUUGUAAGUUUCAAACUGAGCUUCAGUUUUUUCUGUUACGCCCAUCCUUAUUUCCAUCCAAUUUUGCCGCUGCUUUAGCCUUGAAUUAUCAGGUUGACUCAGUAGAUUUUUUUUGUAGGUAACAUCCAAGUGUAUUAAAAACAGGGCUCAACCCAGAUUACAUUCAGUUUCACACAGAGAGGUAAUUGCUCAGGCACACUCGCCGGUGGAAGGAAAUCUCCCUGCACUCUAGCAUAGGAAGCAAGUUCGUUGGUGGCCCUGUCGCAUUGUCUACUUAUCUUUCCGACAUCGCAUGCGGAAAAUCUCUUGACAGCAGCUUAGCCUCCUAAUCGAUGCUCCACCACUUUGUUCUUCUGACAUCACCAGAGUUGAUGACACUAAUAUAACGACUGCGGAUUCAAUAAUGAGUGGCCCCUUGUGGAACUGGCCUGUCAUCUCGGCAGCGAUCAUCGGCACAUGACACUCGUGCACCCAGCAUUGUUCCAAAAUUGAUGAUUGUUAGUGGAGAUUACUUGCUAUAUAGGAUUCAAAGAAUAUCUUCUCCUACUAAAUACCAACACAUUAACUCGGUGUCCCGGGCAGAACAGUGACAAAUCGGCUAAUGGGUACUACUAAACCCCUAGAAAUGGACCAGGAGCUCCGAAUGGUUUCCUUUAGAAAAACAGCCUCCGGGAAGACCAGCAGCAAUCGGCUUCCAGUAAUCGCUAGUGGCGCCAUAUUUAGGCCAUACAUUGCAGGACCCGUCACAUCACCUGUGGUUCUGCGGUGUCUUACCCCGUGGCGCCGGAGGCGUCCGUCCUACUUGGUUUCCUCCUGCUGCCACACCAUUCGGACCAACGUAGGGUUGGUCUCCUCCCCGUGGCACUCCCUGCCCACCCAACUGAUGAACUACAUUUUCUCCUCCCCUUGGCCCGGUCCCAGCCCCCUGACCAAAGUUGCCAAAUGCACGCCCUGAUGCCAUCGCAACAAAUUAUGUGUCAAAAUGGGCAUCCACUUCCAAAAUAUAAGAACUAGAACUCACGCGUGGUUGCGUACCUUUGCAAACGGCAGAGCAUGGGCAUGGUAGCAGGGACCAGCAGCAGACGAUCACCAGGGUGAUUGACAUGGCGCGUGCGAGGGAGGACGGAGAAGAAGAAGACCGCUUCAUUGUCGAUAGGGCGAUCCUGCCUUCCUAGCUUCAGCUCUGCAGAAAUGAUUUGAUCUCUCUUUGUGGCCGGGUUACUCCUCCUAGUGAACUAGUGCUCUAACAGUAGCGACAAGUGUGUCAAGUCAACAGAUUGUCUGCACAUAUAGAUUAACCAAAUGUAAUCACGAUCAAGUGUAGGUAAAUAGCUGCUCGGAGGCCCCAAGUCAAGUCAAUUGCUCAAAGUCGUCCAGGCCGACACUUAAUCUUUGUUGUCAGUGCAUCUUAAUCAUGGUUGCAGGCUUGAAACAGUCAAGCAAAGCUGCUGGCAACUGUAACAUACAAUUCGUACAAGCUGCUACUGCCAGCUGAGCAAUUGUACUACUUGUCUAUUGGAGAUGCUCACUGCAUCCGCAACCCUCAAGGCCUCAACUCAGUGGCACGUUUCGAUCUGGCAUGAAUCGGACUCAUGGGACCAGAAUGCAAGUAUACUCCAAGUUUGCGUUGCACUAAGCAGAGCAAUGUGGCAGUUCACCGAUAAGCAAAAUGGACAUCGCAAUUUCAAUAAGAAACAUCAGAGUGCCGCAGCGGAAAGCGUAGAAGGCCCAUAAUGCAUAGGUCCAAACCAGGCUCUGGUAAUAUUUUCCCCAAUGGGCUGAAUUGUUUUUGCUGUGCUGCGAUAUUUCAUGCGUUGUUCGACCAAUUUUCCAAUGUGAUGAGUUUUGAACUGGACUUCAGUUUUUCGUGUGGUCCAUUUCGAUUUUGUAGGAUUGUUUGGCCCGUUUCUUCUAUCCAUGCAUGUUUAGAACUGAUUCUUGACUUGAAAAAAAGGCCUUGGAUCAAUCCGUUUGACUUUCUUUCUUUCACUACUAAGAAAAGGGCUAUAGAUGGAAUGGCCACUAAUGGCGCACCAGAUAUGUGGUGCGCCAUUGCUAUGUAGCAGUGGCGCACCAGACACGGUGCGCCAUUAGUAACAAAUUUUAUUUUUUUUCAUUUUGCCAGACAUACUAAUGGCGCACCAGGACAUAGUGCGCCAUUACUAGUUGUAACUAGUAAUGGUGCACCAGCAACAUAGUGCGCCACUAAAUUUUAUUUUUUAUUUUUUACUUUUUUGCAAAACUACUAAUGACGCACCCGGGGCAGUGCGCCAUUACUAUUUUAAGCUAGUAAUGGCGCACUGCUCCCCCGUGCGCCAUUAGUGUUUUUUGCAAAACUACUAAUGGCGCACCACCAGCAGGUGCGCCAUUAGUAACCAGGGUUACUAAUGGCGUAUUAUGUGGUGGUGCGCCAUUAGUAACCUGGGACGAGCUAGAUAUUUUGGACAGCCACACCUACCCACUCACUUUCCCCACUUCAUUCUCUUCUCCCUCCUCCAAGCUUGUCUCGGCUGCCUCCUCCUCCUCACCUCAUUUGCACCAUAAAUUCAUCCAAAUUACGUGGUUAAAGCCCCUUUUUUUGAUAAGUAAGUAAGGGGGAAGCUAUCUUUAUGUUGUUCUCCCUCCAACAACGUGCACAUGCACUUUUUAUGUCCUAGCUAGAUCUAUGUAUGUUUGUGGUGUUGCAUAUGUUUGUGGUGUUGCAUAUAUGUUUGUGUUUGCAGGUACCGGUAUUUGAAAUGCGAUAGUUGCAAAUAUUUUGCCGGAAUGUUGAUUCAUUUCCGUUUCGGCGAGAAUUUUGGCACUAUGCAUUCUUUUUGGUCCUAUUUUUAGGGAAAGUCAUGCCAAAUUUUUUUCUUGGUUCUAAAAUAUCGUUUUGCUCUACCCCGCAGGUGACCAUGGUCCGCACGAUGACCGAAGUCAUCGUGAAUAGGUUUUUGAGCUUCGCGAAGGCCGAGAUGCUUGAAAAGAACGAGACGGAGAUAAGAUGUCCGUGUCGAAGAUGCAAGCUGAAGAGCCUUAUUGCGGACCCGGAUUCCAGGCAGGUGCGGGACCACCUGCUCUUGCGUGGUUUCAUGGAUGGCUAUCGGUGGCAAGGUGAUGAAGAUGACUAUGAAGUCGUCCAUGGGGGUCGGGCAAGAAAUGAGGAUGGGCACUGCUCAUGAAAGAAAUGAGGAUGGGCAAGAUGACUAUGAAUACGUGGGACGCCGCAGAGAAAGAAUAUUUCCCUAUGAGAGCCGCACUGCUCACGACGGUGCACGACUAUCUCGGUUUCGGAUAUCUCGCGGGGCAGGUGGUCCACGGAUUUUCUGGAUGUGUCAGGUGCAUGGAUGACACAACGUAUCGCCAGCUAGAUAGAGAUCCCGGGUCUUCGAAAACCGUGUUCAUGGGACAUCGAACGUGGCUUCGCGACGAUGACCCGUGUAGGAAACGCAAGGAUCUGUUCGAUGGUGAAACCGAACCCCGAAGACGCCCGCGUACGAGGAGCGGCGAGGAAAUAGACGAGCUGUUGAAAAAUUGGAAAGAUUGCCCACUGCCGGGAAAGAAGCAAAAGGCGCCAGAGCCGGGAAAGAAGCGAAAGGCGCCAGAGCCACUGCUGAAGGUAUGGAAAACGAGGUCUGUUUUCUGGGACUUGCCGUACUGGAAGAUCCACCGUGUGCCUCACAGCCUUGAUGUCAUGCAUAAGAACGUGUGCGAGAGUCUGCUUGGUACCCUGCUCAACAUGCCAGAGAGGACCAAAGAUGGGCCGAAAGCAAGGGCAGACUUGAAAUCAAUGGGCAUCAGGGAGGAGCUUCACGCUAAUGAUGAUGAUGAUGAUGAGGCGAAGCAGGACACGGAAAGUCGUCGCAAAGGCAAAAAGGCCAAGAAGACCGGAAAUGACUUCCCUCCCGCGUGCUUCACUCUAAGUCAGGAGGAGAUCGAUCAGUUUUUCACCUGCCUCGUAGGAGUAAAACUUCCUUACGGUUACGCGGGGAAGAUAAGCAGAUACCUAGACUCAGUGAAGCAGAAGUUCAGCGGGAUGAAGUCUCACGACUGUCACGUGCUGAUGACGCAGAUUCUUCCAGUUGCAAUCCGUGGGAUCAUGGACGCGCACGUCCGUGAAACGCUAUUUGGCCUAUGCAACUUUUUCGACGUCAUCUCUCGGAAGUCGGUUGGCGUGAGGCAACUCAAAAGGCUACAGGAAGAGAUCGUGGUGAUACUAUGCGAGCUUGAGAUGUACUUCCCUCCCGCAUUCUUCGACGUUAUGGUGCAUCUGCUGGUCCAUAUCGUGGAGGAUAUCAUCCAACUCGGGCCGACGUUCCUGCACAGCAUGAUGCCGUUCGAAAGGAUGAAUGGUGUCAUCAAAGGAUACGUUCGCAACAUGUCACGUCCAGAGGGAAGCAUAACCAGGGGCUUUCUGACCGAAGAGUGCAUCUCCUACUGCACGAAUUAUCUAGGCAUCGAGAACCCCGUUGGUCUCCGUCAACAGGCACCUCGCAGGCUCGCUGGAUGGGGUCACCGUGAGGGUCGUCGCGAAAUGCAUGUCGACUUCGAUGGUCGACUCGCCGACUUUGAAAGAGCAAACCUAGUCGCGCUACAACACAUAGACGUGGUCGAUCCUUGGGUGGUAGAGCACAAAACGUUUAUUGAGAAGACGUACAAUGACCGAGGCCAACAGAGGACAGACGGAGAUAUAAUCAAAGAGCACAACUCAUGUUUCACGCGUUGGUUCAAGCAGAAGCUUCUGUCGUACCCUUUACAUGAGGAUUCUUCCGCGGAAGAACAACUCAUGUUCGCCUUGUCACAGGGCGCCGAGCACAACCUGAUGACGUAUGAGGCGUACGAUAUCAACGGCUACACAUUCUACACCGAGGACAAGGACAUGAAGAGCGAUGGUUAUCAGAACUCCGGGGUAACGAUGGAAUCCUACACCGGUAACGACAAGGAUAGAUACUACGGAAGGAUCGAGGAGAUCUGGGAGCUGAGCUACGCUGGAGAGAAGGUCCCGAUGUUCCGUGUCAGAUGGGCCAAGAGCGUCAUAAAAGAAGACCGGUAUUUCACCACCAUGGUUAUACCCGAAGCCAAAUCCAAGACCGCAGGCGCGAACGUCACCGCGAAAAAUAAGCCAUGGGUACUGGCUUCCCAAGUGGACCAAUGCUUCUUCAUUACCGACCCAUCAAAGCCCAGUCGUGUUGUCGUGAGGAGAGGCAAAAGGAAGAUCAUCGGAAUGGAUGGAGUCGCCAAUGAGCAAGACUUCGACAAGUACGGCGACCCGAAGAUGGAACAUGACGACGACGAUGAAGUAUCAGCAUACACCACAAGAAGAAGCAGGACCACCCUACCUAAAGGACGUCCGUUCAAGAGAAGAACUCCAUUUACGAAAAAUAAGGGCAAGAAGAUUGUGAACAGAUAGCUAGCUAAGAUCGAUUGUAUUUAAAUUGUAGCCUUCAUUUCUCGAUUGUAUUUCAUGAGCACUUUUUGAACUCAUGAAUGUUUUUAAAUUUCAUGGACACUCGAUCUCGCACCAUCUCCCCCGCUCCACCGGCCGCCGCNNNNNNNNNNNNNNNNNNNNNNNNNNNNNNNNNNNNNNNNNNNNNNNNNNNNNNNNNNNNNNNNNNNNNNNNNNNNNNNNNNNNNNNNNNNNNNNNNNNNNNNNNNNNNNNNNNNNNNNNNNNNNNNNNNNNNNNNNNNNNNNNNNNNNNNNNNNNNNNCCCGCACCCUCCCCCACUCCACCGCCGCCGACGACCCAACGCACCCUCCCCCGCUCCACCGGCCGUCGCCGACGACCCCCCGCACCCUCCCCGGCCCGCUCCUGGUGUUUUUAUAAAAAAAAAUUACAGUUAUGAUUUAAACAAGUUUGAACAUAUGUAAACACAAAUAAAUAUCAAACAGCAUUUUAAAUGCAUAAAAAUAAAAAUUGGGGAGCCUGGGAAUCGAACCCAGGACCUCCUAGUGUGUGUGCUGCGUGCUGACCAGUCGGGCUAGUGGGCGUGUUCUGAUGGAGAUAGGGUUAGGUGGGAUAUAACCUGACCAGUCGGGCUAGUAAGUAAAACCGAAUUCUAAUGGCGCACCAGGGGGAGGUGCGCCAUUAGAGUUGACGUACUUAUGGCGCACCAGGGGGAGGUGCGCCAUUAGAAUCGACGUACUUGUUCCUCGCACUGUGGCCUCCCUCCCUCCCGCUCGCCAGAUCCCCCACUCGAUCGACCCCAACCGUACGCCGCCGCCCCCUUGCUCCGCCCCCUCCGUCCGCCGCGCCUGCACGCCGUCCGCUGCUGUGGUCUUGCGCUGCCUCAACGCCGCCGCCCCGACCCCCGCGGGACUCCACACCCGCCGCCCCCGCGUCCCCCGAACGGGCUCGGCCGAGCGCGCGCCGCCCGCUCCUCUCCUCUCCUCCUCCCUCCGACGAGCGAGGGCCUCCUCCGGCCCCUGCAGCAGCCGGCGAGCGCGGCCCCGACGCGCCCAUCCCGCCUGCCCCUGCCGUCCUCCGCCACCGGCCCCUGCUCUCCUUCGACCGCGGCGAGCGAGGACCCGGACGAGCGAGGACCCCGACCGCGACCCCUUCGCCGACCCCGACCCCGACCCCUCCGGCGACCAGGUACCUCUCCUCCUUCCUCCUUCCUCUGGCGACCCCGACCCCUUCUCUUGUCCUUUGGCAUCUAGAAUUAUGUCAGUUUGGGAGCCUGUAGUAUUAGCCUAGAAAACAAUUGUUGGUGUAGUAUUAGCAAAUCUGGGUCACUAGAUCAAAAAAAUAAACGGUCCAAAAUAACUUGUUGUACUGUAAAAGGUCUAAGAAUUUUUUUAGUACUUGUGCAUCAGGCUCGUAUUGUCUUGACUUAGUAUUGACAUUAUUAGUUCUAUACAGUCAAAGUUAACCCCGAGCAAGGUUUUGGUUACCGAAUGAGGCAAUUUUACCGAGGGUGACUGAUAAACGUGGUUACCACGGUUACCGGGAAAUACCGAGAAAUACCGAGAAUAUUUCGAACGAAUUUUAUAGUUGAAUUUUGAAUUCAAAUAAAUGAAUGAACGAACAUUCAAACCAAAGACCUGUCAAAACAGGAACUAGGUUGCUAUGAACACGUCAGAAUCAACUCUCCUUGCAUUAAUUAGAUCCUAGGCACUUUACUACAAAUCGAGCGUUAAAAUUCAAAAUUUUCAAAAAUAAUGGUAUUUUUUGCUCGGUAUGUGGAUUUACCGAGGGGCACGGAAAUACGCGGUAACCAUGGGAAAUCUUGAAAUUUCGACUGGUAACCAAAACCUUGACCCCGAGUCAGUAGGGAUAUAUUCGAAACUUUAUGUAUGUCCAUUUUAGGUGGAGCAAAUAGAGCCUUCAAUAUUUUGGGAACAAGGUAUGCAAGAUGGCGCCCCUAACUCUAAAGAACAAGAGCAUCACCAGCAUGGUACAUCCUAGAUAAUUUCGGUUUUCGUAAUUCUUAAUUGUCUAAGAAUUUUUUAGUGCCCACUUGAUGUGGAGAACCAAUGGUUUGAUUGUGAGGAAUUUUAACAGGGUCCCUCUUACCUCCUCUUUUCACAUGGGAGCUACGAAGGUAAGAGUUAGUUAACAGAUGAAUAGGAAUCAUUGUCAUCAAAGAAAAAAAAUGAGACUAGAGAACUGACAUCUCUUCUUCGAUGCAAAGACCUGAACAAUUUUUAUUCCUUUAUAGAUGAUCGGUAACAACUACUAAUUACACGUCACAGUACAUAGCACGGUCAUCCAUCACACACAAGCAGGAGGCAUAGGCUAGGUAGGACAAAGCAUCGAUGGCUGGUUUUCAAAAUGAAAGGCCUCCAGGAUCUCACUUUGAACAGCUUGCAUGGCAAAAUUCAGGAAAGGGUUUGCUGACGGCUCCCGCCCACAGAUUUGAUGACAUGCGUACGUGAAUGUGCAAGACGCAUCUGUGAUUUUACGGAGUUUGCUGUACCAACCAGUCGGGUCUUGCGGUGCGGUGGCGGCGGAGUUCUGGAGUGGUCGCACCCAGGGCACUUGUGGCGCCCGGACCCGGGGAUCGGUGGCGGGGGAACCACUCCUGGACGGCCUCCU